Molecule: ribosomal RNA, 512 nt
Filed under: uncultured bacterium
Lineage: Bacteria
Description: bacterial SSU rRNA
Rfam family: Bacterial small subunit ribosomal RNA
Source: RNAcentral
AAUCAACGCUGGCGGCGUGCCUCAGACAUGCAAGUCGAACGCGAAAUUUCCCUUCGGGGAGAAAGUAGAGUGGCGCACGGGUGAGUAACACGUAGGUAAUUUGCCUUUGGGUGGGGAAUAACUCAGGGAAACUUGAGCUAAUACCGCAUAAUGCAGCGGCUCGACAUCGAGACAGUUGUUAAAGCGGGGGAUUGGAGCAAUCCGACCUCGCGCCUAAAGAGAAGCCUGCGGCAGAUUAGCUAGUUGGUAAGGUAAUGGCUUACCAAGGCGACGAUCUGUAACCGGCCUGAGAGGGCGGUCGGUCACACUGACACUGACAUACGGGUCAGACUCCUACGGGAGGCAGCAGUCGGGAAUUUUGGGCAAUGGGCGCAAGCCUGACCCAGCAACGCCGCGUGAAGGAUGAAAUUUUUCGGAAUGUAAACUUCGCAAGAACAGGAAGAAUAAGUGUGGGACAAUACCCCACAUGAUGACGGUACUGUUUGUAAGCUCCGGCUAACUCCGUGCCAGCC